This 725-nucleotide ribosomal RNA is filed under the name uncultured bacterium. RNAcentral describes it as "bacterial SSU rRNA". It matches the Rfam family "Bacterial small subunit ribosomal RNA", at positions 8 to 722 of the family's 1533-position model. The record is from RNAcentral.
AGAGUUUGAUCAUGGCUCAGAGUGAACGCUGGCGGCAGGCCUAACACAUGCAAGUCGAACGGUAGCACAGAGGAGCUUGCUCCUUGGGUGACGAGUGGCGGACGGGUGAGGAAUAUAUCGGAAUCUACCCUUUCGUGGGGGAUAACGUAGGGAAACUUACGCUAAUACCGCAUACGAACUGAGGUUGAAAGCGGCGGACCGCAAGGCGUCGCGCGGAUGGAUGAGCCGAUAUCCGAUUAGCUAGUUGGCGGGGUAAUGGCCCACCAAGGCGACGAUCGGUAGCUGGUCUGAGAGGAUGAUCAGCCACACUGGAACUGAGACACGGUCCAGACUCCUACGGGAGGCAGCAGUGGGGAAUAUUGGACAAUGGGCGCAAGCCUGAUCCAGCCAUGCCGCGUGUGUGAAGAAGGCCUUCGGGUUGUAAAGCACUUUUGUUGGGAAAGAAAAGCGGUCGGUUAAUACCCGGUCGUUCUGACGGUACCCAAAGAAUAAGCACCGGCUAACUUCGUGCCAGCAGCCGCGGUAAUACGAAGGGUGCAAGCGUUACUCGGAAUUACUGGGCGUAAAGCGUGCGUAGGUGGUUUGUUAAGUCAGAUGUGAAAGCCCCGGGCUCAACCUGGGAAUUGCAUUUGAUACUGGCAGACUAGAGUGCGGUAGAGGAGAGUGGAAUUCCCGGUGUAGCAGUGAAAUGCGUAGAGAUCGGGAGGAACAUCAGUUGCGAAGGC